CCUUGUACAUAAAAACAAAGGAAUUUAUUUUCACUCCCUACUUUGGCAAUGUCUUUCAUUCUUUCCUGUCUUUAAUCCUUCUGUUUUAGGUUUUACACAAUUAUACUCAUAAUGGGCAUACCAUCUUUGACACAUUGUUCCAGCAUUCAUUGUUUAUGCACCACACCCAGUGCUCCAUGCAAAAAUCACUCAACUUUGGGUCAAGACGGAGAGCUGCUCAAAUAUUCCUUGCCUAGCAGUAGGAGGAUAAAGAAGGGUGGAGAGAUCCUCAGCCCACUGGGUGGCCGGCUCGUCAUGGAAGAUGAAGCUGUGUCUGUGGCUGCCGGAAAUGGAGGGGACAUCCUGUGACUGAGGCAGACAAUGGGGGCGACUGCAUCAUGUGGCAUUUAGGAUUGGAUGAGAUGUCAAAUCUAAUCUGAAAACUGGAGAGAUCUGAACAGUUUGGCAUAUCUGAGGGUCCAAAACUCUCAGAUCCACAGUAGGUGUUGAAAGCUCUGAUAGCUGCAGAGAGCCACAGUGAGAACAG
RNAcentral lists this long non-coding RNA (526 nucleotides) under Mustela putorius furo (domestic ferret). RNAcentral describes it as "lncRNA (ENSMPUG00000028425.1)". Lineage: Eukaryota; Metazoa; Chordata; Mammalia; Carnivora; Mustelidae. The record is from RNAcentral.